UCCUACGGGAGGCAGCAGUGAGGAAUAUUGGUCAAUGGUCGGGAGACUGAACCAGCCAAGCCGCGUGAGGGAUGAAGGUACAGAGUAUCGUAAACCUCUUUUGUCAGGGAACAAAGGCGGGGACGUGUCCCCGGAUGAGUGUACCUGAAGAAAAAGCAUCGGCUAACUCCGUGCCAGCAGCCGCGGUAAUACGGAGGAUGCGAGCGUUAUCCGGAUUUAUUGGGUUUAAAGGGUGCGCAGGCGGUCUGUUAAGUCAGCGGUCAAAGCCCGGGGCUCAACCCCGGCCCGCCGUUGGAACCUGCAGG
This 305-nucleotide ribosomal RNA is filed under the name uncultured bacterium. Its description in RNAcentral is "bacterial SSU rRNA". It matches the Rfam family "Bacterial small subunit ribosomal RNA", at positions 337 to 640 of the family's 1533-position model. The record is from RNAcentral.